This is a long non-coding RNA of Betta splendens (Siamese fighting fish), 2157 nucleotides long. RefSeq lists it as uncharacterized. Lineage: Eukaryota; Metazoa; Chordata; Actinopteri; Anabantiformes; Osphronemidae. The transcript is spliced from 3 exons. The record is from RefSeq and is a predicted model, not a curated record.
GUGGCCCUCAGAUAGAUUGACAGCUUGGGGAAGAACCUCCAGGGGGUCUCUCCCUUCAGCCAGCAUGCAAGCUUGGUGCCGUCCCAGAACCCAGAAGAAAACUCCUGCAUGGGAAGCACACAGAGGCAGAGGCACCUGGAGAAGCAGUACAGAGUCCAGUGUACCUCUCUGCAGUCCAGGUUCAGAUUCUGGUUCCCAACCUCCAACUUCAGCACCUCCACCUGGUAGUACCACUCCUCUAGUAUGGGCGUGUACCAGAUGGAUCCACGAUACAGAGUUGGUUCAACCCCUCCCAAGAUCUGAGGAGGAGCAAAAGUCAUCAAUCGGUCAACAGCGUCCACAGCAACACACUGAAAAGCCAACAUUACUGCGCAUGGGCCACAUUUUGGUUUUAUAUAUAAACACAGGCAUCCUGCCACAUUAUCCAUCUGUCUCAACCAGUGGGUGAUGUGAUGAAGAUGCAGUGAGCGAGGCAUUAGGGCCAUGUGAAUAACAGUGACAGACCUGCUCUCAGCAGGGCACUGUAUUAGCUUAAUUAGCUCCAGUGUAAGUAGACUGGGCCUCCAAUGGAGAAAGCACAUUGACAAAGAGGAUACCAUCCACGGUAUUAUUAUAAUAAUGUGCAAACGGCUGAGCUGCUCUGUAUAAUCCAUUAGUCUGGUAUUUUCUUAGUCUCAGACAAUGAGCUGAACCAUAGCCCACUAGUACCUGGGCCGAUUCUACAGAAAUGACUCAACACCAAUGUAUAAAACAGAAUUAAAGACAGAGGUCACAUAUAAAAAUGACUCAUUUUCGCCUUUGAGCCAACUUUACAGACAAAUCUUAUUCUGUGUUUAUUUUGAACAGACUCCACCUCGGGCUGCUCCGGCUGACUACUCACAAGACUGCCCCCCGCGGGGUCCGCCGUGCUGCUGGCCGACAGGCCAGCGCCACACAUCUGGAGGGAGAAGAUGUCCGGGAUUCCCAGCUGCCGCACCAUGGAGUUGAAGAAGGGCUCCACAGAAGAGUCGGGCUGAGCGGAAGGCAGAGACAGUGCCAAAAACAGUGAAAGGGUUCUCUCUGCAGCUUUUAGUAGCUUUCUCGUCCGUGUCAUGUCAUGUCAUGCAUGACAAACAGCCCUCAGGCAAAAUGGACCUGGACACUCAGACAGCAGCACAAAGUGGUCUGUGUGAGACUAUCUGGCCCUCAGUCGCUGGCAUUUGAUCUCAGAGGUUGCUGUAGUCUGCGCAGAAUGAAAGCAGGUACUGUUCUGCUUCACACUGAUGCAAUUUGUGUUCCAUCAGCACCAAAUUAUCACGCUAAAGAAAGCCGACACUGAGGGAAGCAUGUGGGAUUUGUAUCUUGUCAAAAUACAAAUGAUGUCCUCAAACUAACUUAAAAUUACUAUGAAUUAAUUAGAAUAUGAGCCAACACAAAUUUCAGCAACAUGUUCGAGUCUCUUGUGUCGGUUUGCAUGACAGAGCUACAGGUUUUCUCUGCAUUUAGUCAGUUUCUAUAGAUAAAAAUACACAAACCCUGAAAUAUUACAGAGAUGAUGGCUUUUGUGAAUAUCUAUGAAAGUCACAAAACACCUAGUUUCAUUUACGGAUUUCUGAGUUGCUGGAACAAUCUGAUGUACCAAAAAGUUUAGUAAAUAUAUAAAAUACUAUUAUCUCUCUCACCCGUGCCAACAUAGGAUAGGCGAGUCCCAGGAUCCCCUGCCAGUUGACCCCAGGAAGGAAGAACCCCUCAGAUGACAGGAUGGCGGCUAUGUUGAUGAUGAUGGUCCCAUUGGGGCCUUGGGGGAUGGAGACGCGAUCUUCGCCCAGCUCACCUUCCCAGUUACCCUGCGUGUACUUGACAGCCACAGUGCGGCUGGAUGAACUGUAGGUACUAGAACUGAACAGAGUGGAAGAAGCCCAAGAAAUAUGAAGAUGAAUAAAAAGGUUCAAUCUGAAAUUAAGAACAUAAUUAAGGGGCGCUCUCUACAAUUAUUUCUGCAUCAAAGCUUCCGAUUCUGUUAUAAGAGAAUGAGAAGACUGUAUCUGCUUAGACAAAGCGCUCCAGCCACUCACAGUGCAGUGUUGAAGUAGUGAGUGAUGAACGGGUGUGGAGCUGCAGCCACUGCAAAGUUACUGCUGCCCGUAUCCACCAGGAUGUUCAGCUGGAAACACAACA